UUUGGCCCUGACUCUGAAUGUGGUUUUGACUAUUAAACAGGUAUGUGACCUUAGAAAGACUGACAGUAGAUACCAAACAUUUCAGACUUACUUAUUUUUCUUUUGGCCUCCUACCAUAAUACACUCCAGAAACAAAAAGGUUUUGGCCCAGUCAGUCUCACUGCUGUGCCUCCGCAUGAGCCAAGAGGACACAUUAACGCAGACACCUGGCCCCACACUUACUCUGGCUUGGCCAGAUCUUGUGCCUCACCCUGCUUGUGCUGGAAAUACAAUCCAAUUGUUUUCAGAGGCUGGACAGUCCUCUUUCUCCAGUUCUCUUGGAAUGGCAGAUGACACUUAAACACCUAUCAAAAGAAGCUUAACCAAUUCAAGCAAAAUAAAGUCUACAGGCCACAUUCUGGGAGCUGCCUGCUGGUGUAUCAUCUGUCAUCAGAGCAAUGAAACCUGCAGCCCGACCGUCUGUUGGCGCUCAGUCAUUCUGUCAGCAUUGCCUGCUGCAGCUGCAUGCAAGCAAGACGUUCCUGCCCGCUUGGCGCUCCGCAGGGCUCAAAGAAUCAUGCAGCACCAAGGCAUGAGACGAAUUCUAAUUAACCCCCUGAAGAGGGAACCAAACGAAAGCUAGAAGAUGUUUGUUUUCAUGUGGAAGCUUUUUUUUCUUUUCAAGAGAAAUUACACAGCUAUGAAUUAAUAUUGGUUAACAAUGAUAACAUAGAAUUUCAAGUGUUUACUCUUUGUACCUAAAGAGUGACUGAAAAUGGUUCCAGUUCAAUUGUAACCUGAAAAACUGUUUUUUGUUUACAAGUGACCUUAUUCAAAAUAGGUAGAGUUUAAGGAACUGGUUUUAUUAUUUCUUAAAAGCUCGCAGAUACUAUUUUAACUAUUUUUACACAUAAAAUGAAUCAUAUCUCUUCAGUUCUCUGGUGAAUUAAACAUUAUGUUCAGUAUUAUCAUGACAUUAUAUGGAACGCUAAUGAGUACAGGUACCUGGGUUGGAAUGUACUGUAGAUUUACCAAUCAGUGAAAAAUUAGAUAUGAGUCAUACUGUACAGUAUGUCUUUCUUCUUUGCUUGCAUUUUUAAAUAUACUUACAUGCAUUAUACCUUUUAGGUUAUGGUGUAUCUAGAUAGGAUGCUGCAUUAACUAUUUCACAAAUACAGUACUUUGUUAAAGGCACACAACUCAUUGUUUAGUGUGGACCCAAGUCCCUAAGUAUUUUUAUAAGGUUUGACCCCAAGCUUCUCUCUCCCUGCCUGUGUGUCUCAUGGAGAGUAAGCUGGGGUUUGCAAAAAGACAAAUUCC
This is a non-coding RNA of Lepisosteus oculatus (spotted gar), 1299 nucleotides long. The record is from RefSeq and is a predicted model, not a curated record. Lineage: Eukaryota; Metazoa; Chordata; Actinopteri; Semionotiformes; Lepisosteidae.